AUUAAUUAUGAGCAGACAUGUGUUGUAGGCGUCCGGGCAGGCUCCUCGAGUCGUGCAGCGCGGUAACAGGUGCCUCUCCCCGGGAAGUAUGCAAAUUCCGAGGCAAGGCGAAAUAUGCCCCUGGCCGGGUUUUAUGGCAGCGAAUUAAUGAACGCAGCCCAGCCAACGAGCAAACCAGCGCCAGCAACAGGAACAGCAACAGCAACAGAAAACGGCAAACGGCAGCGAUGCACCCACGAAGGGUCAUUAUUUUGCCCGUGUCCCAGCUCCUGCUCCUGCAACACAUUGUGGCAUGGUCAGCUAGGGGUUUUGUGUUUGUGUGUGCCGUGCGGUUCGUGGUGCGGUGCGGUGCGGUGUGGCGCCUCCUCCUUCGUGUGCAAUAAUAACAAUAAUUUAUCACCCAGACCAAAAUUAUGCAUGGACUCAAUUGUGCGUGAAAUUAAAUUUUAAGCGCAAACAAGCCGACUUGUCGGCUCUGCCCCUGUUUGCUCCCAUAAUUUGGCUAAUUUCAGCCCAGUCGCUCAGCCUGCUAAUAAUUGAAAAUACUUCAAAUUGCUCAUCUCCGCCACAAAUGACAUCUCGCAGGACAGGACAGC
This 596-nucleotide long non-coding RNA is filed under the name Drosophila guanche. Lineage: Eukaryota; Metazoa; Arthropoda; Insecta; Diptera; Drosophilidae. The record is from RNAcentral.